AACUUCUGUUUUUCCCUCUUGUGUUGUGCUUAGUACCACGGAGAAAGAAGUGAAGGGUAAGAGCCCACCCCAAUUGUGACAUGGAAGGCGCCCAAGAGCCGUGAGACAGUGAGCGUUGUUGAUUCCAGGCUAUGCAAAUGCCAUGAAGCUGGGAGUGGAGCAGAUGUCACCAUCAGUGAGAUAAGUGUCUGGUUUCGUGAGGACUCUGGUAACGGCCCACCUGCUUCCAGGCCAGGACUUGUCGUUAGCUGGGGCUGAGUUUGUAGGAAAAGGUUCCUGAAUAGCUGUAGUUACGAGGGAGACAAGGUCCCCGUUUUCAGGGGCUGGUCAUUUCUCUGUCCACAAGCAGUGCGUUCUCUGCAGCAGAAGGUUGGAUCCAGGGGGAUGACUCCAGCUGAGGAAUCAUCCAGGAGCAGCAGCCAGAGGAUAAAUUGGCGGAAGUGGACCUGAGCCACCUGGAAAUCCUUCUAAGCAGACAUGAACAGUCUUCAGCUUUCUGCCUCCCACGUAACUGCCUCUGCGCUUCUAGAGGAAUCAUGGAGGAGCAGCAGCCGAAGGAGAAGGUGGCAGACGUGGACUUGAGCAGCUUGGACAUUGUUCUAAGCAGAGAUUAACAGUCCUCAGCUUUCUGCCUUGCACAUAACUGGCU
Long non-coding RNA from Mauremys mutica (yellowpond turtle), 649 nucleotides. RefSeq lists it as uncharacterized. The transcript has 3 exons. The record is from RefSeq and is a predicted model, not a curated record. NCBI's taxonomy places the organism in Eukaryota, Metazoa, Chordata, Testudines, Geoemydidae.